GAUGAACGCUGGCGGCGUGCCUAAUACAUGCAAGUCGAGCGAACAGACGAGGCGCUUGCUCCUCUGACGUUAGCGGCGGACGGGUGAGUCACACGUGGAUAAUCUACCUAUCUGACUGGGAUAACUUCGGGACACCGGAGCUAAUACCGGAUAAUAUAUUGCACCGCAUGGUUCAAUAGUGAAAUACGGCUUUGCUGUCACUUAUCGCUGGAUCCGGGCUGCAUGAGCUAGUUGGUACGGUAACGGCUUAUCAAGGCAACGAGGCGUAGCCGACCUGCGUGGGUGAUCGGCCGCACGGGAGGGUGAACGGGGACCAGACGCCUGCGGGACGCGGCAGAAGGGAAUCGGCCGCAGUGGGCGAAAGCCUGACGGAGCAACGCCGCGUGAGUGAUGGAGGUCUUCGGUGCGGAAAACUCUGUUAUGAGGGAAGAACAAAUGUGGAAGGUGCUAAGCACGGCGUGACGGUACCGAAUCAAAAAGCCACGGCUAACUACGUG
Molecule: ribosomal RNA, 497 nt
Filed under: uncultured bacterium
Lineage: Bacteria
Description: partial 16S ribosomal RNA
Rfam family: Bacterial small subunit ribosomal RNA
Source: RNAcentral